RNAcentral lists this ribosomal RNA (402 nucleotides) under Triticum aestivum (bread wheat). RNAcentral's name for it is "partial small subunit ribosomal RNA". Lineage: Eukaryota; Viridiplantae; Streptophyta; Magnoliopsida; Poales; Poaceae. The record is from RNAcentral.
AUGGGCGACGAAGCAACCGAUGAAUCAUUUGAGUGGGCCAUCGGCUACCCUGAUGUUGUAAAGGCUUGUGGUGAGGUGACACGUUUCAUGGAUGAUUUGGCUGCAUUCAAGCAUUACAAGAACAAGCUGGACGUGUCGAGCUCCCUAGAGAGCUACGUGAACCAGCAUCGUGUUACAAGCGAGAUGGCCAUCGCCGUGCUGGAUAACCUGGUCGAAGAUGCAUGGAAAACCACAAACCAGGCACGAUUUGGCCGCCGUGCACUUCUUCCUUUUGUCAACCGGGUCACCAACCUCACCAAGAGCAUGACCUUGUUGUUCCGCGACAAGAAUGACCUCUACACGUUCAGCCGUGGAAACAAGGACAGGACCCGGCAGCAUUUCAUCGACCCUAUCCCCCACUAG